GGUGGGGCCAUGACAAAUCAUAGAGAUACAUAUUUGGACGAGGGGCAAGGCUGUAAAAGACAACAAGCAAACAAGAGCAACUAAUGUAUAAAAGACCACAUUGGACUGAAGUGAUCAUCGAGCGGAAGAAGCGUAAACUGACGAGUCGACGACAGGCUACAGUGGUGAACACGACAAUGAAGUGGUUGAUCUUGGCUUUCUGCGUCGCCGUGCUGGUCACAGCUGGUGAAGCUCUGCAAUGCCAUUCCUGUAUUAAAACAUAUGCGGGACCAUGUUUCCCUCACACCUCAACGUGUGAACCGGGCCAAGUCUGCCGUGACGAUACAGUCAACAACGGACAGUAUUGCGCAUGGCCGUGAAUGUGACAGCAGACAAACCACCAACUUGAAGUGCUCCAGAAUGGACCACUGCGAUCAUCCUUUCAUAAAAGCAUCAAAGGACUGGAGGGUGUUGGUG
Long non-coding RNA from Hippocampus comes (tiger tail seahorse), 456 nucleotides. RefSeq lists it as uncharacterized. The record is from RefSeq and is a predicted model, not a curated record. NCBI's taxonomy places the organism in Eukaryota, Metazoa, Chordata, Actinopteri, Syngnathiformes, Syngnathidae. The transcript is spliced from 3 exons.